Setaria italica (foxtail millet) is the source of this 1090-nucleotide long non-coding RNA. RefSeq lists it as uncharacterized. The record is from RefSeq and is a predicted model, not a curated record. The transcript is spliced from 2 exons. NCBI's taxonomy places the organism in Eukaryota, Viridiplantae, Streptophyta, Magnoliopsida, Poales, Poaceae.
CCCCCCCCCCCCCCCGCGGGGCAGUGGCGGCGAUUCCCGUCCGUGGGAGCAACGGUGGCCCGGCGAGCGGCGGCGCGACGUCGUCAUGGUGGCUCUGCGGCGCCUCUGCCACUACCUCCCAUUCUCCUCGCGAUGGUCGCCAUGGAGCGCGGCAGAGGCAGAACUUCCCAGCCGGUUCGUGGUGUAGCUCAAGCUGUGGUUCCCACUUCCCAGGGAGCUGGUACACGUGGAUCUCGGCGUGCGAGGAUUUGAUGCUGGACUUCUUUGUCCAGAUCAGCAGAGGGAGCAAGAAAACGGUUCAAAUCGGAGCUAGAUAUGAAAAUAUGAGAUUGAGAUGCUGUGUCAUACAGGUCUGAGCUUCUCUAUUCAUCCUGCAGGUCUUUUCUCAGACGCUCAUGAAUCCAGUUCGGAUGAAUAUCUUUAGCCUUUUUUUGUUUGUGAAAAAUCUGAUUAGCUAGCGACAUGUGCUUAUUGGAUUUCACAGUGGAGAAAAAACAGUUCCUUUACAGGUUCUUGAUCUUGCAUGUCAUAGAUGCUGCCAGCAAGGUGUCAAGCUCUGUUUCUGUUGCAGAGCCUUAAAUUCGUUUGAUUUUUCAGAUUUGUAGGAGGAAAGUUAUCUACCACUAGUGGUGCCAGUUAGCUUGUGAUAUGUUUGCUUGGAGUAUGGUUUUCUUUGCAUUCUCAUAGAUAUGGUAACCUGCUCUUAGUUUCAUAAUCCCAGCCUGUUUCAUUCGUGGGAGCCGGCGAGUAUGGUUUUCUUUUGUUAUGAAGUCCUCACUUAUUCAGAGCAACAUUUUUUAUUUUUCAUCCUUUCAGAUGGAAAAUUCAUUUGUUCGACAGUUCUGUUCUAGAAGGACCUUGCAAUCCCAACAUGAGCAAAAUGAUAUCUCCAGAGCUACCAAUUACUGUGAAAAAUAUAGUAAAUGGUCGUUUCAUAUUACUAUAUGGACAUAUUCUCUGAAUGUAUUUCCUCCAAAAUGUGCUGCUCCAUUUUACUGUAUACUACAGUGCUAUGGGAUUCAUGCAAUUAUAUGGACAUAUUGUGAACCAAAUUGUGGUAACUCCGGAUCAUAAUUAUUGUCUUCAACCA